UGGAUGGGUAUGCCUAGUGGCGAGGGCAGCGGACUGUAAAUCCGUCACAAAGAAACACCGCAGGUUCGAGUCCUGCCCCAUCCAU
RNAcentral lists this transfer RNA (85 nucleotides) under Enterocloster clostridioformis. Its description in RNAcentral is "[Clostridium] clostridioforme tRNA-Tyr(gta)". It matches the Rfam family "tRNA". From Rfam's summary of the family: Transfer RNA (tRNA) molecules are approximately 80 nucleotides in length. Their secondary structure includes four short double-helical elements and three loops (D, anti-codon, and T loops). The record is from RNAcentral. Lineage: Bacteria; Bacillati; Bacillota; Clostridia; Lachnospirales; Lachnospiraceae.